This 359-nucleotide ribosomal RNA is filed under the name uncultured bacterium. RNAcentral describes it as "bacterial SSU rRNA". It matches the Rfam family "Bacterial small subunit ribosomal RNA", at positions 28 to 388 of the family's 1533-position model. The record is from RNAcentral.
GACGAACGCUGGCGGCGUGCUUAACACAUGCAAGUCGAGCGGUAAGGCCCUUUCGGGGGUACACGAGCGGCGAACGGGUGAGUAACACGUGGGUGACCUGCCCUCAGCUCUGGGAUAAGCCUGGGAAACCGGGUCUAAUACUGGAUAUGACUCCAUGACGCAUGUUGUGGGGUGGAAAGCCUUGUGCGGCUGAGGAUGGGCCCGCGGCCUAUCAGCUUGUUGGUGGGGUGANGGCCUACCAAGGCGACGACGGGUAGCCGGCCUGAGAGGGCGACCGGCCACACUGGGACUGAGACACGGCCCAGACUCCUACGGGAGGCAGCAGUGGGGAAUCUUGCGCAAUGGGCGAAAGCCUGACG